GAUGAACGCUGGCGGCGUGCUUAACACAUGCAAGUUGAACGAAGCACUUUAUUUGAUUUCUUCGGAAUGAAGAUUUUGUGACUGAGUGGCGGACGGGUGAGUAACGCGUGGGUAACCUGCCUCAUACAGGGGGAUAACAGUUGGAAACGACUGCUAAUACCGCAUAAGCGCACAGGGUCGCAUGACCUGGUGUGAAAAACUCCGGUGGUAUGAGAUGGACCCGCGUCUGAUUAGCCAGUUGGUGGGGUAACGGCCUACCAAAGCGACGAUCAGUAGCCGACCUGAGAGGGUGACCGGCCACAUUGGGACUGAGACACGGCCCAAACUCCUACGGGAGGCAGCAGUGGGGAAUAUUGCACAAUGGGGGAAACCCUGAUGCAGCGACGCCGCGUGAGCGAAGAAGUAUUUCGGUAUGUAAAGCUCUAUCAGCAGGGAAGAAGAAAUGACGGUACCUGGCUAAGAAGCAC
Molecule: ribosomal RNA, 467 nt
Filed under: uncultured bacterium
Lineage: Bacteria
Description: bacterial SSU rRNA
Rfam family: Bacterial small subunit ribosomal RNA
Source: RNAcentral